CGUCUGCAGCAGUGCAGCUGGGAAAGAAGAGAAGGAAAGGAAGAAGAAGAGAAAGGAAAAGGGAAGAAGAGAGGAAGAGAAGGGGAGGCAGCUGUGGCAGUGGCAGCUGCAGCUGGAAGAGAAGGAGAGGAAAUAGAGCAGGGGAGGAAGAAGAGGCUGCGGCUGUGAUGGCUGCGGCCAUGGCUGCGACUGCGACUGCGGCAGUUGCAUCUGGGAAAGAAAAGAAAGGAAAGGGGGAAAAAGGGGCUGCGGACGGGAUUACGGUCGCAGCGGCAGCGACUGCAUAUGCAGCAGUUAUGUCUGCGAGAGAAGGGAGGAAGGAAGGUAGUGCGGUGGAAGGGGCUGCGAUUGUGGCAGCGGCAGCGGUGGCGGCUGUGGCAGCUGCGUUUGGGAAAGAAAAAGAAGGAAUGAGAGUACGAGAGAGCAGGUGACUGUGCCUCGAUGUUCGACACGUGGUGUAGUUGCGAAGAAAGAAAGAAAACUAGUGCACAAAACGAAACAGGGAGGGGAUGGAGGAAAAGUAGAAAAAGGAUUCGAGCGUACACCUUCUUCGAAUCUUUGGAUCAAAACCUUCAAAAGGCAAGUUUCCCGAUCGUUUCUCCUGUUAUUGUUCUAAUCUUUCCUAUUGCAAGUGUCUUGAUCUUUUCUUACUGUAAUUCUAUCUCUACAUUUGAUUUGAAUAUGAGGAACUUCGAAUUGUUCUAGCCUUGCAUUUGAUAUAUCUCUUGUUUAGACAUAUCGAUCCGAAUCUAUGCAACGUCUGAGAUUCUGACCUUUCUACCUUGUUAUGAUUAUAACUUCAUGUAUUGACCUCUGAUUUUGACAAAAAUUAUUUGAUCAGAAUAUAGACUCAUAAACCUUUCUUUUGAUAGCUUUCUUGAGUAUAUUGGAGCACGAUUGAUAGUUUGAAUCAUUUGUUCAAUGUGCCUCUUGAAUUCUGCCAGAAAUCGAGCUUUGGUCGAUUUCGCAUAUUCUGGUUUCUUUCCUUUGGAAAUUGAUAUCCUUUAGCUUUCUCAUUCAAUUGAGCUUUAUAUUACUGCUUUGAAUUCUUGUAUGUUCUUAUCCUACAUGUAUUUGGAUACCUAAAUCUGUUAUGUAAACUUCAUGUUUGUAUCAUAAUGUUUCAUAAAGGCACAUGUACAUUUCGUUGUUCCGCAUGUGCUUCCGAUAUGUCCCAAUUUAUUGUUCACAAUACCCUUUUGUACUCUGGUGUUUGUGGGAUUAUUUGGAACUUUGCCAAAAAUGGUGAAGGGUAUGUGCUUAGAGCCCGCGAUGCUCUAGAUUAUGUUUGGUGGACAUUCAGAAAUGAAUAGACCAUAUUAUGUUUGGAAUCCCACUUCACCUUCUAACUGUUUGAUAUGAAAUUCAGAGCCGACCUAGCACUUGGGUAGGGUGAGAGGGCUCGAUUAAUGGGAG
RNAcentral lists this long non-coding RNA (1416 nucleotides) under Musa acuminata (dwarf banana). RNAcentral describes it as "long non-coding RNA (MACU_LNC010712)". The record is from RNAcentral. Lineage: Eukaryota; Viridiplantae; Streptophyta; Magnoliopsida; Zingiberales; Musaceae.